Molecule: ribosomal RNA, 417 nt
Filed under: uncultured bacterium
Lineage: Bacteria
Description: bacterial SSU rRNA
Rfam family: Bacterial small subunit ribosomal RNA
Source: RNAcentral
UCGGGAAUAUUGCGCAAUGGAGGAAACUCUGACGCAGUGACGCCGCGUAUAGGAAGAAGGUUUUCGGAUUGUAAACUAUUGUCGUUAGGGAAGAAAAAAUGACAGUACCUAAGGAGGAAGCUCCGGCUAACUACGUGCCAGCAGCCGCGGUAAUACGUAGGCAGCAAGCGUUAUCCGGAUUUAUUGGGCGUAAAGGGUGCGUAGACGGGCGAUCAAGUUAGUUGUGAAAUCCCUCGGCUCAACUGAGGAACUGCAACUAAAACUGGUUGUCUUGAGUGCAGGAGAGGUAAGUGGAAUUCCUAGUGUAGCGGUGAAAUGCGUAGAUAUUAGGAGGAACACCAGUGGCGAAGGCGACUUACUGGACUGUAACUGACGUUGAGGCACGAAAGUGUGGGGAGCAAACAGGAUUAGAUACCC